RNAcentral lists this long non-coding RNA (230 nucleotides) under Homo sapiens (human). RNAcentral's name for it is "non-protein coding lnc-DEFB131B-1:2". The record is from RNAcentral. Lineage: Eukaryota; Metazoa; Chordata; Mammalia; Primates; Hominidae.
AUGAAACUCCAUUCCCUUAUUUCUGUUCUCCUCCUCUUUGUGACUUUAAUACCAAAAGGUAACUGGCGUUAUUCCAGGACAAAAACAGUGUAUUGCUUUGAAAGGGGUGUGCAGAGACAAACUAUGCAGCACACUAGAUGAUACCAUUGGUAUAUGUAAUGAAGGAAAAAAAUGUAGAAGGUGGUGGAUACUUGAGCCCUAUCCAACUCCGGUUCCCAAAGGAAAAUCUC